Caenorhabditis elegans is the source of this 148-nucleotide non-coding RNA. Lineage: Eukaryota; Metazoa; Nematoda; Chromadorea; Rhabditida; Rhabditidae. The record is from Ensembl.
AAGGCAGUGAUGCACGAACCAGUUGCAAGCAUAACAACCCCCUAAUUAAUCGUCAGGUAAGCGUCCAAACAUUAAGCUCGGACAUUUAUAACACGCGAAGUAAGACAAAUUCAAUUCGAAUUAUUUUUCUGGAAAAAUUAGUUCAAAA